Molecule: ribosomal RNA, 1227 nt
Filed under: Halimeda hederacea
Lineage: Eukaryota; Viridiplantae; Chlorophyta; Ulvophyceae; Bryopsidales; Halimedaceae
Description: SSU rRNA
Rfam family: Eukaryotic small subunit ribosomal RNA
Source: RNAcentral
GCGGUAAUUCAAGCUCCAAUAGCGUAUAUGUAAAUUGUUGCGGUUGAAAAGCUCGUAGUUGGACUUCUGGCGACUGCGUUCGGUCCGCCAAGCGCGUGCACUGUCCGCGGUCGUCGUUUCUGUCGACGUGGCGCGUCGGCCUUAGUUGGUCGGUGCGUCGUCUGUCGGCGAUGUUACUUUGAGGAAAUCAGAGUGCUCAAGGCAAGCGUUCGCUCGUGACUUCACUAGCAUGGAAUAACACAGAUGGGCUCUUUCUCGCACUGUUGGUCUGCGUCAAUUGAGCAACGAUCGAUAGAGACGGUCGGGGGCAUUCGUAUUGCGCAGUUAGAGGUGAAAUUCUCCGAUCUGCGCAAGACGUACUAAUGCGAAAGCAGUUGCCAAGGACGUCCUCUUAUGAUCAAGAGCGAAAGUCGGGGGAUCAAAGAUGAUUAGAUACCGUCGUAGUCCCGACCAUAAAUGAUGCCGACUGAGCUUCGGCGACUCGACCUCAGGUCGUACGUCGGCGCUCUUAGAGAAAUUAAAGUCUUUGGGCUCCGGGGGUAGUAUGGUCGCAAGUCUGAAACUUGAAGGAAUUGACGGAAGGCCACCACAAGGCGUGGAUGUUGCGGCUUAAUUUGACUCAACACGGGAAAGCUUACUAGGUUUGGACACCUUUGUGAUGGACAGAUUGAAGCUCUUACCCUACUGCGUGGAUGGUGGUGCAUGGUCGUUCUCAGCCCGUGGGUUGACCUGUCAGGUUUACUCCGGUAACGCGCGAGACCUCGGUCUGCUAAAUAGACGCGGCUGUUUCGGCACCCGCGCUCUUCUUAGAGAGAGACUCGACGAGAGUCGAGGGAAGUCGAGGCAAUAACAGAUCUGUGAUGCCCUUAGUUAUCCUAGGUCGCACGCGCCAUACAAUGUGGUGCACAACGAGUCUCCUUGGCCGACAGGAUCUGGGCAAUCUGGCAGAGCGCUACGUGACUGGGCUAGACUUUUGUAAUUUUUGGUCUUGAACGAGGAAUGCCUAGUAAUCGCAGGUCAGCAUCCUGCGAUGAUUCGGUCCCUGCCCUUUGUACACACCGCCCGUCGCUCCAUCCGUGGCAUGCGCCGGUGAAGAGGGGGAGGCAGCGUCGGCCCGGGUAACACCGGAUCGUACGUGGAACCCCUCUGAACCUUCGCAGGUAGAGGAAGGAGAAGUCGUAACAAGGUUUUCGUAGGUGAACCUGCGAAAGGAUCAUUAUCGGCACA